Molecule: ribosomal RNA, 488 nt
Filed under: uncultured bacterium
Lineage: Bacteria
Description: bacterial SSU rRNA
Rfam family: Bacterial small subunit ribosomal RNA
Source: RNAcentral
AGAGAAUAGAUACCCUGGUAGUCCACGCCCUAAACGAUGCAUAUUUGGUGUGGGCAGUUCAUUCUGUCCGUGCCGGAGCUAACGCGUUAAAUAUGCCGCCUGGGGAGUACAGUCGCAAGGCUGAAACUCAAAGGAAUUGACGGGGGCCCGGCCACAAGCGGUGGAGCAUGUGGUUCAAUUACGUACGCAACGCGAAGAACCUUACCUGGGCGUCGAACGGCCGGUCAACGGCGGUGGAAACAUCGCUACCCGCCAAGGGGUCCGGGUCGAGGUGCUGCAUGGCUGUCGUCAGCUCGUGUCGUGAGAUGUUGGGUUAAGUCCCGCAACGAGCGCAACCCUUGUCCUGUGUUGCCAUCAUUUAGUUGGGAACGUCGCAGGAGACCGCCAGGGAUAACCUGGAGGAAGGUGGGGUAUGACGUCAAGUCCUCAUGGCCGUUUAUGUCCAGGGCUACACACGUGCUACAAUGGCCGGUACAAAGCGUCGCAAA